RNAcentral lists this ribosomal RNA (253 nucleotides) under uncultured bacterium. RNAcentral's name for it is "partial 16S ribosomal RNA". It matches the Rfam family "Bacterial small subunit ribosomal RNA", at positions 524 to 776 of the family's 1533-position model. The record is from RNAcentral.
UACAGAGGAGCCAAGCGUUGUCCGGAUUGACUGGGCGUAAAGCGCACGCAGGCGGUCGCGCGCGUGGGGUGUGAAAUCUGGCCGCUUAACGGCCAGGCGCCAUCCCAUACGGCGCGACUGGAGUGAUGCAGAGGUCGAUGGAAUUGCCGGUGUAGUGGUGAAAUGCGUAGAGAUCGGCAGGAACACCCAGGGGGAAACCAGUCGACUGGGCAUCUACUGACGCUGAAGUGCGAGAGCGUGGGGAGCGAACCGG